GAAAUGCGAUAAGUAGUGUGAAUUGCAGAAUUCAGUGAAUCAUCGAAUCUUUGAACGCAGAUUGCGCCCUUUGGUAUUCCUUAGGGCAUGCCUGUUCGAGCGUCAUCUAAACCUUCAAGCCCUGCUUGGUGUUGGGUGCCUGUCCCGCCUCCGCGCGCGGACUCACCUCAAAUCCAUUGGCGGCCCCCGCGUCGGCCACGAGCGCAGCAGAAACGCGAACUCGUGAGCCCGUCCGGGCGGCUCCCAGAAGCUACACCCACCCAGUUUGACCUCGGAUCAGGUAGGGAUACCCGCUGAACUUAAGC
This 305-nucleotide unclassified non-coding RNA is filed under the name plant metagenome. RNAcentral's name for it is "partial contains 5.8S ribosomal RNA, internal transcribed spacer 2, and large subunit ribosomal RNA". The stretch from base 1 to 105 matches the Rfam family "5.8S ribosomal RNA", at positions 50 to 154 of the family's 154-position model. The record is from RNAcentral.